This 252-nucleotide ribosomal RNA is filed under the name uncultured bacterium. RNAcentral's name for it is "partial 16S ribosomal RNA". It matches the Rfam family "Bacterial small subunit ribosomal RNA", at positions 524 to 776 of the family's 1533-position model. The record is from RNAcentral.
UACGUAGGGGGCGAGCGUUGUCCGGAAUUACUGGGCGUAAAGGGUUCGCAGGCGGCAUGGCAAGUCCGAUGUAAAAGGCGAAAGCUCAACUUUCGUAAGCAUCGGAAACUGUCAAGCUUGAGUGAAGGAGAGGCAAGUGGAAUUCCUAGUGUAGCGGUGGAAUGCGUAGAUAUUAAAAAGAAUACCGGUGGCGAAGGCGACUUACUGGGCUCAUUCUGACGCUGAGGAACGAAAGCGUGGGUAGCAAACAGG